This 465-nucleotide ribosomal RNA is filed under the name uncultured Klebsiella sp. RNAcentral describes it as "bacterial SSU rRNA". It matches the Rfam family "Bacterial small subunit ribosomal RNA", at positions 338 to 795 of the family's 1533-position model. Lineage: Bacteria; Pseudomonadati; Pseudomonadota; Gammaproteobacteria; Enterobacterales; Enterobacteriaceae. The record is from RNAcentral.
CCUACGGGUGGCUGCAGUGGGGAAUAUUGCACAAUGGGCGCAAGCCUGAUGCAGCCAUGCCGCGUGUGUGAAGAAGGCCUUCGGGUUGUAAAGCACUUUCAGCGGGGAGGAAGGCGUUAAGGUUAAUAACCUUGGCGAUUGACGUUACCCGCAGAAGAAGCACCGGCUAACUCCGUGCCAGCAGCCGCGGUAAUACGGAGGGUGCAAGCGUUAAUCGGAAUUACUGGGCGUAAAGCGCACGCAGGCGGUCAGUCAAGUCGGAUGUGAAAUCCCCGGGCUCAACCUGGGAACUGCAUUCGAAACUGGCAGGCUAGAGUCUUGUAGAGGGGGGUAGAAUUCCAGGUGUAGCGGUGAAAUGCGUUGAGAUCGGGAGGAAUACCGGUGGCGAAGGCGGCCCCCUGGACAAAGACUGACGCUCAGGUGCGAAAGCGUGGGGAGCAAACAGGAUUAGAUACCCGAGUAGUC